Molecule: long non-coding RNA, 1067 nt
Organism: Mus pahari (shrew mouse)
Lineage: Eukaryota; Metazoa; Chordata; Mammalia; Rodentia; Muridae
Exons: 3
Source: RefSeq, a predicted model, not a curated record
GAGCUGGUGAGAGAACGUCAGUGCCUGGGGACACUCCUACCUGAAGAAGUAGGCUGCAAGCAGGAACAGGAGGAGGAGCAGAGGCAGCAGCAGCCAGGGUGCUCUCUUAUCACCACAAAGCUCCCACCCAAAGGGCCCCAUCAAAAGCCUGCUACUCCAGUUAAUGAGUGUGGCUCCUGUGAACUGGUCCAGAGGAGCUAUGUUCUGCAGCUGGUGAACACAUGCUGGCAGGAGUGAGCAGGUCCCCAUGGGAGGCCCCGGAGAUUUUUCCCCCAGUGACUCAUCUGCUGUGUCAGAAGGACCCAGGCAGAAGAGCAUGGGCCAGCCUGGGGAAGCUCUUUCUAGACCCAAUGGAACUCUGCACCAAUCAGCCACAGAUAGUACCCCUCCAACGAGGGACAGUCUACAUGUCUACAGGGUCCCCAGUGAGGAGGCACAGUUAAAGUGAAGGAGGAAGAGGAAGAGGAAAAGGAAAGACAGGAAGCACAGUGAGCAACUGUGCUCUGGGAAGAGACAACAGUCCCUGGAGGACUGCUCUGGAGCACUUUCUGGGAUCUAGUCCACAAAGCUUCUCGGGCCAGAGGCGUAUGAUAAACAUUCCAAGUAGCCCAGUCAGAGAGAACACACAUAGGUGGACUGUUUUGUUUCCCUAGCACGAAGUUGUGAGUGUAACUUCCCCUGCCUUUUCUUCUGUGACGCUAAACUCAUGAAGGCUUGGUAAAUAAAUUAGACUCACGAAUCUCCCCUGGGAUCCAAGAUCGCAUGACCGAAGGAAGUACUGUUAUUUUACAAAUUGUUAGGGAAGGAAAACAGAUGAACUGAUGACAAAGAAUAACCUGCUUGAUGAUAUAUCCCAACACAAAUGCUAUGUAUGAAGCGACUGGGUGAAACACACAUCUCUCAUUGUUCCCCGAGAGCUGCCACGCUAGGUGAGCCUCUUCAUUCUGUGUCCUGACUGCUUGCCAUCCUACACUUUGGACUGGCCCAGAUGGCAUGGGUUUUUGAGGCUAUUUCCCACUUUUCUGUUCCCUGUACUUGUACAUUAAAAAAAAAAAAAGUGAUAUUCC